RNAcentral lists this ribosomal RNA (460 nucleotides) under uncultured bacterium. Its description in RNAcentral is "partial 16S ribosomal RNA". It matches the Rfam family "Bacterial small subunit ribosomal RNA", at positions 338 to 795 of the family's 1533-position model. The record is from RNAcentral.
CCUACGGGAGGCAGCAGUGAGGAAUAUUGGUCAAUGGGCUUACGCCUGAACCAGCCAAGUCGCGUGAGGGAAGACUGCCCUAUGGGUUGUAAACCUCUUUUGUCAGGGAGCAACGCCGGCUACGUGUAGCCGGACUGAGAGUACCUGAAGAAAAAGCAUCGGCUAACUCCGUGCCAGCAGCCGCGGUAAUACGGAGGAUGCGAGCUUUAUCCGGAUUUAUGGGGUUUAAAGGGUGCGUAGGCGGAAUGCCAAGUCAGCGGUAAAGUCGCGGGGCUAACCCUCGCUCCGCCGUUGAAACUGGCGGUCUUGAGUGGGCGAGAAGUAUGCGGAAUGCGUGGUGUAGCGGUGAAAUGCAUAGAUAUCACGCAGAACUCCGAUUGCGAAGGCAGCAUACCGGCGUCCCACUGACGUUGAAGCACGAAAGCGUGGGUAUCGAACAGGAUUAGAUACCCUAGUAGUC